ACGUCCAUGGUGAAGUGGUUAUCAUGCUUGCCUUCCAUUGUGAAUGUCAGCAAGCGGCACGGGUUCGAUUCCCGUUGGGCGUA
Molecule: non-coding RNA, 83 nt
Organism: Ceratobasidium sp. 370
Lineage: Eukaryota; Fungi; Basidiomycota; Agaricomycetes; Cantharellales; Ceratobasidiaceae
Source: the annotation of a GenBank genome assembly